This 876-nucleotide ribosomal RNA is filed under the name Weissella confusa. Its description in RNAcentral is "bacterial SSU rRNA". It matches the Rfam family "Bacterial small subunit ribosomal RNA", at positions 48 to 877 of the family's 1533-position model. Lineage: Bacteria; Bacillati; Bacillota; Bacilli; Lactobacillales; Lactobacillaceae. The record is from RNAcentral.
CUAAUACAUGCAAGUCGAACGCUUUGUGGUUCAACUGAUUUGAAGAGCUUGCUCAGAUAUGACGAUGGACAUUGCAAAGAGUGGCGAACGGGUGAGUAACACGUGGGAAACCUACCUCUUAGCAGGGGAUAACAUUUGGAAACAGAUGCUAAUACCGUAUAACAAUGACAACCGCAUGGUUGUUAUUUAAAAGAUGGUUCUGCUAUCACUAAGAGAUGGUCCCGCGGUGCAUUAGCUAGUUGGUAAGGUAAUGGCUUACCAAGGCGAUGAUGCAUAGCCGAGUUGAGAGACUGAUCGGCCACAAUGGGACUGAGACACGGCCCAUACUCCUACGGGAGGCAGCAGUAGGGAAUCUUCCACAAUGGGCGAAAGCCUGAUGGAGCAACGCCGCGUGUGUGAUGAAGGGUUUCGGCUCGUAAAACACUGUUGUAAGAGAAGAAUGACAUUGAGAGUAACUGUUCAAUGUGUGACGGUAUCUUACCAGAAAGGAACGGCUAAAUACGUGCCAGCAGCCGCGGUAAUACGUAUGUUCCAAGCGUUAUCCGGAUUUAUUGGGCGUAAAGCGAGCGCAGACGGUUAUUUAAGUCUGAAGUGAAAGCCCUCAGCUCAACUGAGGAAUUGCUUUGGAAACUGGAUGACUUGAGUGCAGUAGAGGAAAGUGGAACUCCAUGUGUAGCGGUGAAAUGCGUAGAUAUAUGGAAGAACACCAGUGGCGAAGGCGGCUUUCUGGACUGUAACUGACGUUGAGGCUCGAAAGUGUGGGUAGCAAACAGGAUUAGAUACCCUGGUAGUCCACACCGUAAACGAUGAGUGCUAGGUGUUUGAGGGUUUCCGCCCUUAAGUGCCGCAGCUAACGCAUUAAGCACUCCGCCUGGG